Molecule: transfer RNA, 87 nt
Filed under: Candidatus Avidehalobacter gallistercoris
Lineage: Bacteria; Bacillati; Bacillota; Clostridia; Eubacteriales; Peptococcaceae
Description: tRNA-Leu
Rfam family: tRNA
About the family: Transfer RNA (tRNA) molecules are approximately 80 nucleotides in length. Their secondary structure includes four short double-helical elements and three loops (D, anti-codon, and T loops). Further hydrogen bonds mediate the characteristic L-shaped molecular structure. tRNAs have two regions of fundamental functional importance: the anti-codon, which is responsible for specific mRNA codon recognition, and the 3' end, to which the tRNAs corresponding amino acid is attached (by aminoacyl-tRNA synthetases). tRNAs cope with the degeneracy of the genetic code in two manners: having more than one tRNA (with a specific anti-codon) for a particular amino acid; and 'wobble' base-pairing, i.e. permitting non-standard base-pairing at the 3rd anti-codon position.
Source: RNAcentral
GCGAGAGUGGCGGAAUCGGCAGACGCGCUACUUUGAGGGGGUAGUGGGAAAUUUCCUGUACGGGUUCAAGUACCGUCUCUCGCACCA